This 458-nucleotide ribosomal RNA is filed under the name uncultured bacterium. RNAcentral's name for it is "partial 16S ribosomal RNA". It matches the Rfam family "Bacterial small subunit ribosomal RNA", at positions 29 to 523 of the family's 1533-position model. The record is from RNAcentral.
AACGAAUGCUGGCGGCAGGCCUUACACAUGCAAGUCGAACGUGAAAGUCCUUCGGGAUGAGUAAAGUGGCGCACGGGUGAGUAACGCGUGGGAACAUACCCUUCAGUACGGGAUAACAGCGGGAAACUGCUGCUAAUACCGUAUAUUCCCUACGGGGGAAAGAUUUAUCGCUGAAGGAUUGGCCCGCGUUCGAUUAGCUAGUUGGUGAGGUAAUGGCUCACCAAGGCUACGAUCUAUAGCCUGUCUGAGAGGACGAUCGGCCACACUGGAACUGAGACACGGUCCAGACUCCCACGGGAGGCAGCAGUGGGGAAUAUUGGACAAUGGGCGAAAGCCUGAUCCAGCCAUGCCGCGUGAGUGAUGAAGGCCUUAGGGUUGUAAAGCUCUUUUGGCGGGGAAGAUAAUGACGGUACCCGCAGAAUAAGCCCCGGCUAACUUCGUGCCAGCCGCCGCCGUAA